This is a long non-coding RNA of Symphalangus syndactylus (siamang), 234 nucleotides long. RefSeq lists it as uncharacterized. Lineage: Eukaryota; Metazoa; Chordata; Mammalia; Primates; Hylobatidae. The record is from RefSeq and is a predicted model, not a curated record.
UCACCCUCUGUUGAUAUGGCUCUGAUGAGUGGAGGAACACCAGGGCUCUUGUCUCACUUCGCAUUAGUGCUGCUUUCUCAGAUACAGGCAUAACCUGGAGAUAUUGCGGGCCCAGUUCCAGUUCAUCAUAAUAAAGGGAAUAUCUUGGUAAAGAAGUCACGGACCCUGAGCGGAAGGACCAGCUGGAGCCAAGGCAGAAGAACAUAAAUUGUGAAGAUUUCAUGGACAUUUAUC